ACAGGUCACAUUGCCAUCCUGAUGUUC
Molecule: non-coding RNA, 27 nt
Filed under: Rattus norvegicus (Norway rat)
Lineage: Eukaryota; Metazoa; Chordata; Mammalia; Rodentia; Muridae
Source: RNAcentral